Molecule: ribosomal RNA, 571 nt
Filed under: uncultured spirochete
Lineage: Bacteria; Pseudomonadati; Spirochaetota; Spirochaetia; Spirochaetales
Description: bacterial SSU rRNA
Rfam family: Bacterial small subunit ribosomal RNA
Source: RNAcentral
ACUGCGGAACCGCGCUAGGAACUGCUUUGCUUGAGUUCAGGAAGGGGAGCUGGAAUUCCAGGUGUAGGGGGGAAAUCUGCACAUAUCUGAAAGAACACCGGGGGUGAAGGCAACCUCCUGGUCAUGACCUGACGUUGAGGCGCGAAACCGUGGGAACUGAACAGGAUUAAAUACCCUGGUACUCCACGCUGUACACAAUGUGCACUAGGGGUUGGACCACUAACGUUCAUCGUCAGAGUCAACGCUUUAAGUGCACCGCCUGCGGAUGAUGAUCGCAAGGGUGAAAUUCAAAGGAAUUGACGUGGACCCGCACUCGCGGAGGAGCAUGAGGUUGACUUCCAUGACACCGGAGGAACCUUACCAGGAUUUGACAUAUGCCGUAAUGUGCAGGACACUGAGCAGCCCUUCGGUUGCGGUAUACAGGUGCUGCAUGCACGUCGGCCGCUCGUGCCGUGAGGUGCUGGUUUAACUCCCGCUACGAGCGAAACCCCUACCGGCUGUUGCCAACAUUCUGUCUAGGGACUCAUGCGUUAACUGACGGAGACAAAGCGCAGGAAGGUGGGGACGACGU